RNAcentral lists this ribosomal RNA (441 nucleotides) under uncultured bacterium. RNAcentral describes it as "partial 16S ribosomal RNA". It matches the Rfam family "Bacterial small subunit ribosomal RNA", at positions 355 to 783 of the family's 1533-position model. The record is from RNAcentral.
UGGGGAAUAUUGCACAAUGGGCGCAAGCCUGAUGCAGCCAUGCCGCGUGUGUGAAGAAGGCCUUCGGGUUGUAAAGCACUUUCAGCGAGGAGGAAGGUGGGUGAGCUUAAUACGCUCAUCAAUUGACGUUACUCGCAGAAGAAGCACCGGCUAACUCCGUGCCAGCAGCCGCGGUAAUACGGAGGGUGCAAGCGUUAAUCGGAAUUACUGGGCGUAAAGCGCACGCAGGCGGUUUGUUAAGUCAGNUGUGAAAUCCCCCGGGGCUCAACCUGGGAACUGCAUUUGAAACUGGCAAGCUAGAGUCUCGUAGAGGGGGGUAGAAUUCCAGGUGUAGCGGUGAAAUGCGUAGAGAUCUGGAGGAAUACCGGUGGCGAAGGCGGCCCCCCUGGACGAAGACUGACGCUCAGGUGCGAAAGCGUGGGGCAGCAAACAGGAUUAGAU